Long non-coding RNA from Passer domesticus (house sparrow), 568 nucleotides. RefSeq lists it as uncharacterized. The record is from RefSeq and is a predicted model, not a curated record. The transcript has 4 exons. Lineage: Eukaryota; Metazoa; Chordata; Aves; Passeriformes; Passeridae.
AUCCAGCCAGUUAUUCACCCAGCAGAGUGCACCUCCACAAAGCCACGAGCGGCCAGCACCUCCAGGAGAACGCUGUGUGAAACAUUGUCAAAGGCUUUAGUAAAGUCCAGAAGGAGUCAGUGCUGUGAGGAGCUGCCCACGAGAGAUCACCAAGAAGGUAUGGAAGAUUUGUAAGAAGAUGACAACAAGGAGCUAUCUCCUAGCAUCAGGGGUCUGCAGAAGAGCUCCCCAGGCCUCCAGGGACAGAUCUGUCACAGAGGCCUCAUCAAGCCUUUUGAGGAAGAAAUCGCCUUGGUCUGCUGCAGGAAAAUCAAGUAAAUAAGCAUAAUGCAGUGAUGUUUCUUCUACCACUCAUGUACAGACUGACAAUAAGGAGGAAAGAAAUGGCUAGCAGAUACAGACUGCUGUGAAACUGGAAAUCUACAUUCAAGAAUUCUUAUUUAAACUUUUUUCACUUUUUCUGGCUUGUCAGGAGUAAAAAAUAGUGAUGAAGGCUAAAAAAACCAAUUCAGCUGUAGACUGCUCAAGGAAGUGUGGCAGGGUAGACAGCCCUGUUAGAUAUAUAUUA